GACGAACGCUGGCGGCGUGCCUAAUACAUGCAAGUAGAACGCUGAAGAGAGGAGCUUGCUCUUCUUGGAUGAGUUGCGAACGGGUGAGUAACGCGUAGGUAACCUGCCUUGUAGCGGGGGAUAACUAUUGGAAACGAUAGCUAAUACCGCAUAACAAUGGAUGACACAUGUCAUUUAUUUGAAAGGGGCAAUUGCUCCACUACAAGAUGGACCUGCGUUGUAUUAGCUAGUAGGUGAGGUAAUGGCUCACCUAAGCGACGAUACAUAGCCGACCUGAGAGGGUGAUCGGCCACACUGGGACUGAGACACGGCCCAGACUCCUACGGGAGGCAGCAGUAGGGAAUCUUCGGCAAUGGGGGCAACCCUGACCGAGCAACGCCGCGUGAGUGAAGAAGGUUUUCGGAUCGUAAAGCUCUGUUGUAAGUCAAGAACGGGUGUGAGAGUGGAAAGUUCACACUGUGACGGUAGCUUACCAGAAAGGGACGGCUAACUACGUG
Molecule: ribosomal RNA, 497 nt
Filed under: uncultured bacterium
Lineage: Bacteria
Description: partial 16S ribosomal RNA
Rfam family: Bacterial small subunit ribosomal RNA
Source: RNAcentral